UGGUCCAUCCAAUCUCCUAAUUGGAUCCCUCCUAUACAGGUCAUAGAGGUCCCUCACCACUACUCUUGAACUACAUGACGAUCUCGACACCCUCACAUCCUAUCUCUAGUGGAUAGGAAUCAUCGGGAAUAAAAUCCUCUUAAUCAAUUGAUCACCAAAAAAUGGGUCACUGCCAUAGUACUCUAACCCCUCCUAUCAGGAUGGAAUAGAUUGCAGAUCCGCAAAGACUCUCCAACCUUGGUACUCGCAAAUGUUGGCCAUUGCAUUAGUGGGAGAUCCACUAUACACGAAUCAUGCAAGAGGUCC
Molecule: long non-coding RNA, 306 nt
Filed under: Elaeis guineensis (African oil palm)
Lineage: Eukaryota; Viridiplantae; Streptophyta; Magnoliopsida; Arecales; Arecaceae
Description: long non-coding RNA (EGUI_LNC017675)
Source: RNAcentral